RNAcentral lists this ribosomal RNA (686 nucleotides) under uncultured bacterium. RNAcentral describes it as "bacterial SSU rRNA". It matches the Rfam family "Bacterial small subunit ribosomal RNA", at positions 32 to 715 of the family's 1533-position model. The record is from RNAcentral.
AACGCUAGCUACAGGCUUAACACAUGCAAGUCGAGGGGCAUCAGGGUAGCAAUACCGCUGGCGACCGGCGCACGGGUGAGUAACACGUAUCCAACCUACCGUUAACUCGGGGAUAGCCUUUCGAAAGAAAGAUUAAUACCCAAUAGUAUAUUUUCUUCGCAUGUUGAAAAUAUUAAAGAAUUUCGGUUAUCGAUGGGGAUGCGUUCCAUUAGGCAGUUGGCGGGGUAACGGCCCACCAAACCUACGAUGGAUAGGGGUUCUGAGAGGAAGGUCCCCCACAUUGGAACUGAGACACGGUCCAAACUCCUACGGGAGGUAGCAGUGAGGAAUAUUGGUCAAUGGACGAAGGUCUGAACCAGCCAAGUAGCGUGAAGGAUGACUGCCCUAUGGGUUGUAAACUUCUUUUAUAUGGGAAUAAAGUUCUCCACGUGUGGAGUUUUGUAUGUACCAUUAUGAAUAAGCAUCGGCUAACUCCGUGCCAGCAGCCGCGGUAAUACGGAGGAUGCGAGCGUUAUCCGGAUUUAUUGGGUUUAAAGGGAGCGUAGGUGGACUGGUAAGUCAGUUGUGAAAGUUUGCGGCUCAACCGUAAAAUUGCAGUUGAUACUGUCAGUCUUGAGUACAGUAGAGGUGGGCGGAAUUCGUGGUGUAGCGGUGAAAUGCUUAGAUAUCACGAAGAACUCCGAUUG